AUAAAAAGUGUUGUGUACAGCAACCGAUUUCAUAAAUUUGCUUUCCGAGUAGCCCCUAAGUUGAGGGGCUUUUUUUAUGCC
Molecule: non-coding RNA, 81 nt
Filed under: Actinobacillus pleuropneumoniae serovar 5b str. L20
Lineage: Bacteria; Pseudomonadati; Pseudomonadota; Gammaproteobacteria; Pasteurellales; Pasteurellaceae
Description: Aggregatibacter sRNA 20
Rfam family: Aggregatibacter sRNA 20
About the family: Validated by RT-PCR and Northern blot.
Source: Rfam by way of RNAcentral